Molecule: non-coding RNA, 2591 nt
Organism: Arachis ipaensis
Lineage: Eukaryota; Viridiplantae; Streptophyta; Magnoliopsida; Fabales; Fabaceae
Source: RefSeq, a predicted model, not a curated record
UUUAUAUAAUGGAUAAUGUUCCAUUCAUCUAGUUCCAUACUAUUGUUUCACCAUAAUAACAUGUUCGGUUCAUCCUGCAGACCAGGUGUGUUGUGGAUGAACAAUUUGUCCCAAAGGUGGAGAUGAUUUUCAAGACACUAGAAAAGCCAGAAAGUUCUACAAAUAUUAUUCCAAACUUGCCAAUUUUUCUACCAAAAUAAGAAACACGACUCAGAAGGGAGACGAGGUUAAGAAUCAACUAAUCGUAUGCAGCAGAGAGGGGAGAUGAAAAUCCAAGAUAUCUCCAACUCUGAAGACAAACCCCUCAGUCGGCAUAAACUGUCCAGCCAGGAUCUACGUACAUAUAAUGAAGGACGUCGGUCUCUGAAUAAUUUCCAAAGUUGUUCUGAAUUACUCACACCACUGCUGUCCAGACCGUGCAGAGAUGCUCAAACAACAUAGGGAGCUAAGCAUGUUCGUGCGUCGAACCAUCGAAACCAACGAGGAAGCCAAAAUCAGACCAAGCAAAACUUAUCAAUCGUUUGUAGCAACAGCCGGUAGUCACCGAAAACUCAGUUUUAUAAAAAAAGACGUGAGGAAUUACAUCACAAGGAAAGUACGGAAUGUUUCCGAACAAGACGAUGCCAAAGAAUUGGGAAGCACCUACUAAGAAUGAAAAAGAAGAACCAAAAUUUAUUUUUUGAGCUCAAUCUCGAAGGCGAUCACUCCAUCAAACAUGCAUUCUGAGCCGACGCAAGAAGCAAGGCUGCAUGCGAGUAUUUCGGAAACGUGGUUUCAUUCGACACUACCUACAACACAAACAGGUAUUUGGUUCACCCAAAUUCAGUCUUUAUGUUCACCAAAUCCACACAUUUCGGUUCAUCACAUUGUGAGAGUGUUGAUUUAUGCAGGUACAAUCUGGUUUUUUGUUCUUUUGUGGGCGUGAAUCACCACGGUUAGUCGACACUUCUCGGAUGCACGCUGAUGAAAAACGAGGACAUCCAAUCAUCAAAUGGCUAUUCGAGUGUUGGCUCCGUUGCAUGGGAGGGAAGGCACCAAAAGGCAUUCUCACCGACUAAUGCGCAUCGAUACAAAGGGCCAUCGAGAUGUGCAUGCCAACAACAAUUUACCGCUGGUGCAUCUGGCACAUCAUGAAGAAAAUUCCAAACAAACUAAAUGACUACAAAUGACAUGAAGAAAUCGAACAAGAGACUAGCUACGUCGUUUGGUCACAAAAGACGCAUUCGACAGAAAUUGGAAUGAUUUUCUCACAAAGUACGGCCUCGGAGGCAACAAGUGGAUCUCAGGUAACCGAGGUUUUAACUCAAAUUAUUUUCAUGCCUUUAUCUUUUGGGUCAAAACAUGCACAGAUUUCGGUUUAGUGCAGCUCAUUAGUUUGGUUCAUUCUGCAGAGCUGUACGAGGAACGCCAUAUAUGGAUUUUAGUUUACCUGGAUCACCACUUCUGGGCUGGGAUAAGAAGCAUACAAAGAAGCGAGAGCAUGGACGCAUUAUUCAAUAAGUUCUUCACACGCAACAGCUCCCUAAGUUAAUUUGUGAAGCAAUACGACAAUUGCCUAGCAAGUAGAGAGAAAAGAGAGAGAGAAUUUGACACUGCAGAUUUUCACACUGUGAUACCGUGCGCAACAAAAUUAGCAAUAGAGGCGCAGUUUCAGCACGUGUAUACCCACGAAAAGUUCAGGAAAGUUUAAGGACAAUUCAGAGGAAAAGUGAACUGUAUCACAAGAUCAGUGCAUUCCACCCUAGGUUUCACAACAUACGAAGUCAUAGAGCAGGUUUUCAACUCAACAUUCAACAAAUUUUUUGUCACCUACGAUGUAGUAUCACGAGAGGUAAAGUGCCAGUGCCUACUAUUCGAGUCAAGGGGGCAUACUGUGCCGCCAUUUUUUGAGCGUCCUAAGCUUCGUGUGAGUGGAUAACAUGGCACCAAAAUACAUACUGGAAUGCUGGAGCACGAACAUAAAGAGGAGGCACACACACAUCAAGAGUAGCGAAGACGAGCCUCUACUGGAGCUGAGAAGCAAGAGAUUCAAUGAUUUGGUGUUUCAGUCGCACAAUAUAUGCGAAUUUGCAUCCGAGUCUGAGGAGCUGACCGAAAUUCUGCACCGGGCGUUUGAUAAUGUCAUGGCCGAGAUGCAAGAAUAUCAAGAGGGAAGCAAAGGAAAAAGUUCGUUAUCCCACAAAGAAGCGACGUUGAGCGACGUGAACGACCUUCAAAGCUCGCCACGUGUCAGAACAACAGGCCGGUCCAAGAACAGACUUGGAUCAAACUUGGAAAAAAAAAGAUCUCAAACGCCACGAAGAAAAAGAAAAAGCCAGCUCUAAGCGAGCUGAAUCUUUUAAACGGCGGACCGACAAUUCAGUCAAGUUCUAGCUUUUAUAAUGCACCAGAUAUGAAUUAUCCCAAAGAGGAUUAUACGAGUUUCAGUUUUCAUUAACAUAAAUUUUCUUUCAUCUAUGAGUAAAUUUUAGUUCACUGAAGUUAUAGGAGGUUUAAUUUCUAACUGUUGUUAGUUUUUAUUGCAUAGUCACUUUUUUUGUUUUUUAUAUUAGCUUUUGUGAAAUUCUUUAUUAAAUAGUCACUUUUUUAUU